UGGGGAAUAUUGCACAAUGGGGGAAACCCUGAUGCAGCGACGCCGCGUGAACGAAGAAGGUAUUCGUAUCGUAAAGUUCUGUCCUAUGGGAAGAUAAUGACAGUACCAUAGAAGAAAGCUCCGGCUAAAUACGUGCCAGCAGCCGCGGUAAUACGUAUGGAGCGAGCGUUGUCCGGAAUUAUUGGGCGUAAAGGGUACGCAGGCGGUUUAAUAAGUCGAAUGUUAAAGAUCGGGGCUCAACCCCGUAAAGCAUUGGAAACUGAUAAACUUGAGUAGUGGAGAGGAAAGUGGAAUUCCUAGUGUAGUGGUGAAAUACGUAGAGAUUAGGAGGAAUACCAGUAGCGAAGGCGACUUUCUGGACACAAACUGACGCUGAUGUGCGAAAGCGUGGGGAUCAAACAGG
This 403-nucleotide ribosomal RNA is filed under the name Actinomycetes bacterium. Its description in RNAcentral is "Actinobacteria bacterium partial 16S ribosomal RNA". It matches the Rfam family "Bacterial small subunit ribosomal RNA", at positions 355 to 776 of the family's 1533-position model. Lineage: Bacteria; Bacillati; Actinomycetota; Actinomycetes. The record is from RNAcentral.